RNAcentral lists this ribosomal RNA (468 nucleotides) under uncultured bacterium. RNAcentral's name for it is "partial 16S ribosomal RNA". It matches the Rfam family "Bacterial small subunit ribosomal RNA", at positions 28 to 507 of the family's 1533-position model. The record is from RNAcentral.
GACGAACGCUGGCGGCGGGCUUAACACAUGCAAGUCGAACGGAAAGGCCCUGCUUUUGUGGGGUGCUCGAGUGGCGAACGGGUGAGUAACCCGUGAGUAACCUGCCCUGGACUUUGGGAUAACUUCAGGAAACUGGGGCUAAUACCGGAUAGGAGCUCCUGCUGCAUGGUGGGGGUUGGAAAGUUUCGGCGGUUGGGGAUGGACUCGCGGCUUAUCAGCUUGUUGGUGGGGUAGUGGCUUACCAGGGCUUUGACGGGUAGCCGGCCUGAGAGGGGGACCAGCCACAUGGGGACUGCGAUACGGCGCAGACUGCUACGGUAGGCAGCAGGGGGGAACAUGGUACAAUGGGCGGAAGUCUGAGGCAGCAACGCCGCGUGUGGGAUGACGGCCAUCGUGUUGUAAAGCGCAGUAGCUUGUGACGAAGCGGGAGUGACGUUAAUGGGUAAAGAAGCACCGGCUAACUACGUG